This 222-nucleotide ribosomal RNA is filed under the name uncultured Desulfotomaculum sp. Its description in RNAcentral is "partial 16S ribosomal RNA". It matches the Rfam family "Bacterial small subunit ribosomal RNA", at positions 1160 to 1382 of the family's 1533-position model. The record is from RNAcentral. Lineage: Bacteria; Bacillati; Bacillota; Clostridia; Eubacteriales; Desulfotomaculaceae.
CAAACGGAGGAAGGCGGGGAGUGACGUCAAAUCAUCAUGCCCUUUAUGUCCUGGGCUACACACGUGCUACAAUGGCCUGUACAAAGGGCAGCAAAGGGGCAACCGGAGCAAUCCCAAAAACAAGGUCUCAGUUCGGAUUGCAGGCUGCAACUCGCCUGCAUGAAGUCGGAAUCGCUAGUAAUCGCAGGUCAGCAUACUGCGGUGAAUACGUUCCCGGGCCUU